This is a long non-coding RNA of Lucilia sericata (common green bottle fly), 853 nucleotides long. RefSeq lists it as uncharacterized. The transcript is spliced from 4 exons. The record is from RefSeq and is a predicted model, not a curated record. NCBI's taxonomy places the organism in Eukaryota, Metazoa, Arthropoda, Insecta, Diptera, Calliphoridae.
ACAGACUAUAAUUCUUUUUCUACAAUUUUCAUUAUUUAAACUACCGUUUUUUUCACAUUGAAGUGAAAUGAACUGAAAUAUUUUAUCAAAAUAUCGAAAUUUUAUCAUAAUCUUUGAAUGCAAUUACAAGAUUCAAAUAUAAAGUAGAAUUAAAGCUUUACUACUCAAAUGAAGGACACAACCUUCAGCUAACUUCUGAGCCUAACAAGGAAGCACGUAACUAUUUGAAUUUCUUAAUUAAUUGAACUAAAUUAUAUCUAAAUUUAAUUAUUUUUCUUUGCAGAUAGUUUUAUUAUGUUAGAUGAGAAAACUAAAUAAAAAGGGUAAAUUGUUAAUUUUGUUUAAUUUAUGAUAAUUUUUAAUUUGCUUAUUUGUAAUAACCUUAAAUUCCCAAUUUUUACUCCUUGCUCAACUCCCCACAAUAAGUGUUUAAUAAAUUUCGGUUAAUUAUAUUAAACGAAACGACAACAACAACAACAGUUAGUGCUAAUACAAAUAGUUGUAUUUCAAAACUACGUUCGAAUCAACGAAAAAGAAAAUGGUGCAUAUUUGACUAUGGACCAUUAACAGAAACCCGUAAAUCCGAACUUGUGCUAUUGAAUUCAGGUUACAAGACCGGCAUUAUGGGAGUCUGUCAAUGUAAACAACAUAAAAAAAAAGUAAUAGAGAAACUUGUUCAGAAAUAACACUGAGAGCCUGUACGAUUUGGACAGCCAGUAAACCUUAAAAGUCCUGCCACAAUAAACUCCCUUUCCCGUAAUUAAUAAAUCUUGAUUUUUUUAUUUAAUCAAAUAAAAAAAGAAAAAAAAUUUAAAAAGCCACCUUUAAGUUAAGAGUUUAUAAUCUCAACUAA